RNAcentral lists this ribosomal RNA (463 nucleotides) under uncultured bacterium. RNAcentral describes it as "bacterial SSU rRNA". It matches the Rfam family "Bacterial small subunit ribosomal RNA", at positions 30 to 490 of the family's 1533-position model. The record is from RNAcentral.
AUUGAACGCUGGCGGCAUGCCUUACACAUGCAAGUCGAACGGUAACGGGCCUUCGGGUGCCGACGAGUGGCGAACGGGUGAGUAAUGCAUCGGAACGUACCUUUCAGUGGGGGAUAACGUAGCGAAAGUUACGCUAAUACCGCAUAUUCUGUGAGCAGGAAAGCAGGGGAUCGCAAGACCUUGCGCUGAUUGAGCGGCCGAUGUCAGAUUAGCUAGUUGGUGAGGUAAAGGCUCACCAAGGCGACGAUCUGUAGCGGGUCUGAGAGGAUGAUCCGCCACACUGGAACUGAGACACGGUCCAGACUCCUACGGGAGGCAGCAGUGGGGAAUUUUGGACAAUGGGGGCAACCCUGAUCCAGCCAUGCCGCGUGAGUGAAGAAGGCCUCGGGUUGUAAAGCUCUUUCGGCUGGGAGAAGUACGCAUCUCCUAAUACGGGUGUGGAUGACGGUACCAGCAUAAGAAG